Prinia subflava (tawny-flanked prinia) is the source of this 7647-nucleotide long non-coding RNA. RefSeq lists it as uncharacterized. The record is from RefSeq and is a predicted model, not a curated record. Lineage: Eukaryota; Metazoa; Chordata; Aves; Passeriformes; Cisticolidae. The transcript is spliced from 4 exons.
UUAAUUCCAUGGCUUUAGCUAUUCUGGUUUUCAAAAUGUAGGCCUUUGUAUCUCUUGGGGUUCCAGGUUUUGCAAGUGGAGUCACAGAUAUGGUGGAAUUUUGGUUGGUGAGAUGGUGGUCUGAGAAAUAACUGGGUCAAUAGCUAAAACAUAACUUGAAUUGACUCUUGGGGGAGCAUUUGGGGACCAUGCUGUUUGUCUUCCUCUCUUGUUAUUCUGCUUCCUUUCAUCUCACUUGCUCUUGCAGUAAUCAUGCAGGGGUGAUGCAUGGGUACUGGUGGGUGGGGAGGAUAAGAUCUCGUUGGAGGGUCCUGGGCAUCUCUCCUUUUCUGCCUAUGGGCUCUGCUGAAAGGCAGCAGGUACAAAUAUGAAGGCUUUGCUGCUGCCCUGCUCCAGGCUUUCCUGUUCACCCUCUACCCUGUAGAGCCUGGCUGCAGGCUGAGUGUCCUUCUUGCCUCUAAAGGUGCUCAGUAACAAUCAGUAGCAGCCUAAGCUGCAGGAAAGGGUGGAAUAUGGGGCUGGUAAACCGAUAUCCUGGGAAAACAUUUGGCAAAAUUGGAGCAAUAAUAUAGCAAAAGAAAAUGUGAGGUCUUAUAGGCAUGGACAACAAUUUUGUUACUGAACAGAAGUGGUUUUGUGCACUCACACUUGCACACCUGUACUCAUGUGCAGGUGGAUGCCAGCAUCUAAGUGGUGGUUGGCUCUGGGUCAGAUUGGCACAGCCACCACCAACAGCCCCGAGUGGGGACUGACCACCAGAGGAGUGACCCACAGCCUGCCGGGAGCACAGGCUGGAGAGCUGGGCUUGGGAGCAGGAGGAUGGCACCCUACAAAACAGCACCCCUGUACAACGCCAUGCCUUGCAGAUGUGUUUGUGAAGUCUCAGGGUAUAACGUAGGAGCAGACUUGGUUAUCCUGUCCUGACCAGGGGGAUGAGACAGAUUAAAAGUGGGACUUGGCAAUUGAGACAAGAGAAUAAAACAGACUUCCCAGAACACUGAAAUGGCACAAGACAGCAACUUCACCUGAAAGAGAUCCUUCAAAUUUUAAUGCCUUUCCUUACAAAUCAUAAUUUAAAACACUUUUUUAAUGAAGUGCGUAUUUUUUUAUUUGAAAAAAACUCUUAGAAUAGUACAUUUUUAAUAAAGGGGUUUUAAAAUAUGAUUUCACAAAAGUCAGAAAUAUUUUCUGCUUUAAAUUACAUCCCUCUUAUCAUUUUACUGAAAUUAAUAAAUGGUUUCUAGGGCAACUUACCAAUAGCAUUAGGGUUCACUUUUUUGUUUCUUGAGGGGUCAGGGAGGUCUUCAUCAAAGAAAUCAGAUAGACAAAAAUGUCAGAGCUGUGCUUUGAUGUUUUCCCACCCCUUGCUGAAGCAAAAAAAAUUGCCUGUUAAUGUGAUAAAAAGGAGUGAGGCCAGCUAGAGAUUUAUGCCCUCCUGGAGACAUAGUGUGUCAGCUCUCUUCCAAAUUCUCUCAUGCUAUUUCCAUGGCAACUCCAUAUAAUGAUAACUCCCACAGAUUUUCUCCUUUUAUCUGUUAUUUUGGUCCCAGAUAGUGAUUGAGUUGAGGCAUACAUUUCUUUCACACCAUUUGAUGCCCAUCGACAACCAAAGUAAAUAAUGUCCUCAUUCUUCAGUCUUUAGAAAGCACAGUUAGUUCACGGCCCUUUCAGGAAUUCACCUGCAGAGCUGGACAGAGCUGAGACAGGAAAAGCAGUGCUCAGAGGAAACCGCAAUGGAUGAAUGCUCACUGUCAGCACAAUGUGACAGGAUUACAUUCCACCCUGCUUUUCUCCUCCCCUUGGCCACGGUAACAGAUGGACACUAAGGAGGAGGCCAUGGUGUAAUGGGAGGAUGGAUGGUUUGGAUGCAGGGAGCUGCAUCUCAGCUGUUCUGCCCAGGGAGACAGGAGGUCAUUCUGCCUGACUGGGAGAUGCUCCCAUUCCCCCUGAUGUCUGCUCAUGAUUGCAAAUCUGGUCCAGCUCAUGAGACAAGGAUCGGGAGUUUCAGCCAGGCAUAGCUGCAGCCAGAAAAUCCCUUGACGAAGUGCUGCUAACCCAUGGCUUCCUCCCUCUUAUGAAAUCUCUUCAGCAAGAUGCUGCUGGCUGAUUUUACACAGCAGAAGUUGCAGGCAUGCAGCUUGUUCCAGGAAACUGCACUUGCUUCAUCUAGCUGGUAAGGCAGGACAGGCCGAAUAUUAGUGCUGAAGCAGAGGGUCCACAGAGGUCCUGGAGUCCAGCUGCCAGUGUGGUCUGAACUGAGCUUCUGUGCUUGGUUUGCAAUUGAAUGCCAGGGACAAUAGGACAGUCUGAAUGUGAAGACGUAUACCAAAUAUCCCCUUUUUGCCCUGAGAGCACCCAGAUAUUUUGACACUCUUCAUUUCUUCCUACAGAGGCUUCCAUUUAAGCAGAUGAACAGUGCUAGGUGAGAGGUCAUUCUCCUCCAGGAGGGGAUCUUAAACCUUAUACUUGAUAAUAGUGUCCCUUCUGAGGAAGGCUGCUGCUCAGAAGAGCUGUCCUACCUGUUUGAUCCCCUCUGUCCUGUAAACCAGAUGUUGGUGGGAGCAUUUCUCCAUUACAGGGAGGGGAAUGAGGGCACAGUAUCAGUCAUAUAGAUUGGAAAAGACCUCUGAGAUUAUCAAGUGCAAUCUUCAAUUGAAUGCCACCAUACCCACUAAGCCAUAUCAUUAAAUUCCAUCUCGAUUUGAUUUUUGAACAAUUCCAGGCAUGGUGACUCCACUGCUUCCUGUAGUUUGAGUCCUUGCCUGGAAGCAGCCCAGGUUUGGGUCUCUUUUCUGAAUGACACAGAGCAAUUCACCUGGGCAUGUGGGUGAGCAAUCACCUAGGCAUGGUGAAAAUUUGACCUUCACCUUCUGCCCUGAAUGUAGGAAUUAUCAUUUUCCCAUCAUGCUAGCAUGAUGGAAGGAUAAGCAUGUGGAAGACCUUCUGAAGGACUCCUAGCAACUCAAAACACAUAUCAAAAACAAGACAGGAGAAUUUCUGAAUAGCAGAUCUAAGGUCUCCAAUGCAUAUUGGUGACCAGCACCUUGUUCACAUGUAUUGUGAUGAUCCUAUCAAACACAAAAAAUACCCUAUUCCUCAGAGUAGAACUGAGGUUGAGAGAGUGGGGUUAAGCACAGUAACAAAUCUCUGUUAAGAAGGAGGCUGCAAAGACAUGUUUUUGAAAUCCUUUUAUGUUUCCAAGUUCAUGGGGUUUUUUUUUAUUUCUUAGGAUUAUGCUAAGACACAUAUAUCCAUAAAAAUGAUUCCUUACUUAGACCUAUAGAUGUCUCUAAGGUGAGAAAUAAAGUCAAAGAAACUUUUGCCAUUGAUUGUACCUGUAAGAAUUUAACUUUUAUUCCCAAUGUUCUCACUUCAAAUGUAUCAUCAUGCUUCUAUUAAUUUCAGUGUGAGCAUUGUAUACACAGUUGGAGGUACAGCAUGCCCCAAAAGCUGGCUACAUUUGAAGAGUGCACUGUGAAAGAGAAAUAAGGCUAGACACUAGCAAGGGUUUCAUCUCUGGGAACCUGUAAAGGAGCGUGCAGCUUCUUUCAGCAUUUCCUCAUUCAUUCCAUAAAGUUGAUUCCACUUUUAGAGAGUAUUGCCAGACAAUAAAGACAAAUGAUAUUCAAAAAAAGGCAAAACUCAUCAUGAAACUUGCAGAGAAAGGACUUUCCCCUCCUCCCACCCCACUUGUCCAAGGAUUUGGAAAAAAAGCACUGGUAGUCAGAACCAGGGCUAGACACCUCGGUACACCAUCUGGCUUUAGAACUGCUGCUGUUGGAUGAAAAAUGUGAUCACCACCAAAAAACAAACUAGUGAUCUGGUGUGAACUCACUCGAAGGCUUUGAACAGGUUAAAAAUAGUUCAUAGUGUUUCUUCACGCGUUCCGGGUAACUCGGCAGGAACGGAACCAUGUGUUCACGAUGGAUGCAGAUAUCACAGUGCCCCCGCCUGGCUACUGAGGAUCCGAUGUCACGGUGAAACUGAGGCGGUUCCAGAUUUUGUGUCCUUGAUGCCUUAAGUUUUAGCUUUCAUAGUUUCCAGAUUCUGCAAUACAUUGGCAUAUAACUCUGAACUUCAUAUAAAGUGUUAGCAAAUUCUCCUCACAGGGUGAGGAGAACUUUAGGCAAAACAAUCCUUUCCAGCCUGAGAACCAAGAACACCGUUACAGCUUCAGGCCCAAAAAAGUAUAAACAGUGAAUUGAGGAGAGCAAACUGAGAGGAUGGAACUUCAUAACCUGAAGCUGUAGUUGGACAAUUAAUUAACCCCAGUAUGUAAAUGGACCAAAACUUACAGAAGUGUGAAAAUGUGAUAGCUGUUGUCCAUCUAGUGGAGCCUCAGCCAGGCUCUUGUACUGCCCAAGGUGUACUUUCUGAAGGCCUUUUAAACAAAUACCUAUUUUAUUCCUUUAACACUGUCUAGCCACUGUUCUAGGUAGCCUCUCAAGGCAUUAUCCUCACAAGGGACAGGUUUUUGUUUGACUUUCAGAGAGUUCACUUAAGCACAGUGAGCAGUGAGCUGAUGUCCUCCUAGGACAGGAGCAGGGUAGCAGAGUGGGGGACAGUGGCACUGCGAUGCUGCAAAAACUGAGUAGACUGCUCUUAGGUCAUUUGAAGCAGUACUACAAUUGUCCCACAUUCCUUCCAUCUGCCUGUACUCUAGAGAAUUGAGCAUACCUUGGCCCAGCACACACAUCCUUGCAUCAGUGAAUCCAUCUGUUUGUGAGCUGACUUGUGCUCAGGAACUGGGCACUUAAUCUUGGCCCUGGUAAUGUCUCAUCUCACACAAAUCAUUUGCUGAUUUAAACCCAAAAAUCUGGAUGUAGCACAGGAGAACCACAACACAGUCUCUAUAUGUAGUAGUGAUGGUUGUGAUGGGUGAGGAGAAAGGACAAAGACCUGAUUCUUCACUGUGUAACAGAUUUGUCCGUGUUGUUGCCAGAUACCACAGACUUUGACGCUGGCAGUCUCCUGGCUUUCUGACUGGCAUAGUUCCACCUAAGGCAAGCCCAGAAGCUGGUAGCCUCCAUUUGGGAAGCUGCACACAGAAUGGGGAGCAGAGCUGAUGACCUGUAUUCUGCGUGGACACUCAGUUUGCCAGAAGCAUGCCCACUUGCUGCCCACCCCUGCAACUGCCCAUUCUCGCAGCCUUGUGAAGCAUCAGGAGUCUGCAGUGCAGGGUCUGGGGUCUGACUGAUCUUCCUUGACCACAGAUACCUUACCAAAGAUGAGCAGCAGCCUCUCCAGGCAACCAUUUCUCUCCAGCAGCUGAAGUGCAGACAACCAGGAAGAGGCUAGUUGAAAUCAAACUAAACUGUGCCUAAAAUAAAAUGAGUUCAGAGAUAAACUCUUUGUGCUGCUGUAUAAAACAAGCAGAACGUCACAAUGGAUAAGAUUUCUUUUUUCAGCUGCAUAGUUAUAGUUGCUUGGGUUUUCUGGUGUGAGUUUUUUACUGUUGUUGUUGUUUCUGUUAUUGGAACAUGCUGAGUCAAAGAAAUCAUUGGUGGCAAAAUUGCAAAUUCUAUCGAAGUCCAAGGCCAUGAAAUAACAUUACUGUUCCUGUUAUUGUUGUUAUUAUUAUUAAUAAUAAUACUAAUGUUAUUAAGAGCGUUAAUACCGAGGCUGUGCUGAGGCGGCUUUUCCUGCCCGGGUGCGGUUCCUGUCGGAGCCGGGCGCGUUUCCCGCUCGGGACCAGCCCCCGGCGCCGCGGACGCUCCGCGGGGCAAGGGCGCCGCCCGGCGGCCGCUGGCGGAAUGCCAGGAGGAGCCGCCCGCGGGCUUUCCAGUCCUGCCGCCAGCUCCUCUCCUCGCACCGAUCCUCCCAGCCUCGCCUCCCCCUUCCUCUGAGGAGCCAGAAACCUAAACACAGCCUCCUCCCCGUUUUCCAGGAGGUUGCUUUCAAUCCUGCAAGAGUUAGCGCGCUGGGACGUGGCCCACUGCUCUGGAGAACAUCGUGGGUACCGGGUGGGUGAUGGAAUCGCUCUGGGACCCUGCGUGCCUCAUUCAUUUUGCCCCUGGCAUCAGUCUCAGGUGGCUGAGGGUAGAUGUCCUGUGAGGCAUGAAGAGCCUCUACCCUGUGUCCUGGGUCAGAAGCUGAGUCUGCUCAUCCAGCACCUACAGCAGUGUCUAAAAAUUCCAAUGGGCUCUGCAGUUCGUACAAGAGAGCCUCUGCUGCGGUAGCUUAGACAACACACCCCAAAUCACAGCUCUCGCUUGAGCAAGGAGUUCUUUCCCUCCACCUUGAUAAACUGCUUGCAAAGUAGGCGAUGAGGAGGCGAUGGUGUGUGAGCGACCCGCAGUGCCCAGAGUGGCCAGUGGCAAGCCUGGAUCCAGAGAUGGUUUGUUUCCUCGGGGCUCUCAACAGGGCUUCUGGCUUAUUUCUGAGUGCUGAUCCUUUUUGAAUGUGAAGAUUGCCACAGAAUUCAUACGUGAGAGUUCUCUCUUCCACUCUGCACAGAAGUACAUGAGGACCUGCAGGGAUGAACAGCUCAUCCAGCGAAAGGAAGCACUCAGUGGGGUGGGCCAUGCUGAGCCCUAAGACAGUUCUUUACAUCCUUCCCACUUCUAUUUUACUGUAAAAUCCUGAGGCUUCUUAGGAAAAGACAUACCAGGUUUCUCUCAAUUAAAUUAAUCCAAACUUUAAAGAACAUCCUGGGCUUAGUGAACCAGCCAAGAAGGAGGCAGUUAUGAAAAAUGAGAAAAUAGGUAGUGAUGGAGAGAAGCUUAGCACUAUCUCAGUGGGACCCAACUUGUGUUAGGAAAAUAAGCCAAGAAGCUUUCAAAGGUCACUGCCAGCCUAUUUGCAUCUUGUCAGAGCACAUUAUGGACUGCCUGCUACUUCCCUACAUUCACACAGACACACAAAACCUCAUGGAAUAAACCAUGUCAAAUUAUAUCAGGGAAAAAAAGAAAAUAUAAAAAUAACAGACAUUUUUCAGAAUGCUUGAGAAAUCCAUGAGAAUCAGUCAUCAAACAUAACCUGUACUUUCAGAAGGCUAAUGGGGCUACAUUUAAAAUCAGUCCCGAGUGAUUUAGGAGACUGAGGGCUGCUGACUUAGUGUAGUGUGAGACAUGGUGCCCAUGGCUCUUAUGCUGUGCCAAGGAGGAUGGAGAGGCACCACUGGUCUACAUGCGCCAGUACAAAAGGCACCGUGAUCACACCAGAAAGGUGAGAUGGCUGUCACCCCCCUUGAGGGACAGGAUGUAACCUGCAGAUAGAGGCACCUAAAUUUAGAUUUCUGAUAGUUAUUACCUAAAUGUGAACUGAGUGUCUCAGCUCCCAAACAGUCAUAAGGUCAGUCAGUCCCAGCUGACUGGAUGCAGGUGCCUAUUUCUGUGUAUGCUGAAAUGCUCCCAGGUGUGGCUGGAUUGCUUGGGGCCUCACUUUAGUUGCUUGCACACCAGCAUAGUGUCAUUUGAGAUGCCCCAGCGUCUCCUGCUCAACUUCCAGUGACCACUGCAGGAGCACAUGAAUUUCCCGUACCUCCUCUAUCAGAUCUGGCAGUCCUGUGCAGAUAUUUUGGAUACCCUUAGGCAUCUGAAAUCACCUUUGUAAGUGCAAAUGGAUUGAGUGCUCAAUCUCCCUAGCUAUUUCAAAGUUGAGAUGCCUAACUUAUAUGUAGGCACCUAUUCCACUGUAAGGACUUAA